UACGUAGGGGGCAAGCGUUGUCCGGAUUUAUUGGGCGUAAAGAGCGUGUAGGCGGCCAGGUAGGUCAGCUGUGAAAACUCGAGGCUCAACCUCGAGAUGUCGGCUGAAACCAUCUGGCUAGAGUCCGGAAGAGGAGAAUGGAAUUCCCGGUGUAGCGGUGAAAUGCGCCGAUAUCGGGAAGAACACCCGUGGCGAAGGCGGUUCUCUGGGACGGUACUGACGCUGAGACGCGAAAGCGUGGGGAGCGAA
RNAcentral lists this ribosomal RNA (249 nucleotides) under uncultured bacterium. RNAcentral describes it as "partial 16S ribosomal RNA". It matches the Rfam family "Bacterial small subunit ribosomal RNA", at positions 524 to 772 of the family's 1533-position model. The record is from RNAcentral.